Molecule: small nuclear RNA, 115 nt
Organism: Arachis duranensis
Lineage: Eukaryota; Viridiplantae; Streptophyta; Magnoliopsida; Fabales; Fabaceae
Product: U5 spliceosomal RNA
Exons: 1
Source: RefSeq, a predicted model, not a curated record
AGUCGUGUUACAAGCACAUAGCGAUUCUUUUGCCUUUUACUAAAGAAUACCGUGUGCUUGUCACUUUAAGCGGCAUACACUUAUUUUUGUAAAGGGUUUUCUUUUUAAGAGAACU